GGACUGACCACGGACUCAGCAGGAGCAGGCGUGUGUCCUCCUGGCAAAGCAAGGCACAAGCAGGGUCACCACUGAUUUCAGCUACAUCUCUGGCUUCUGGAACAUGACUUUUGGAUCGCAGCAGGUUUGGCUGAUGACACCUGGGCUUCCAGAAAUCACGUGUACUAGUCAGUGUACACUAGAGUGAUUCAACACCUCCAGACAUUGCCCAGUGUUCAUCCUGACAAGGGACUCGUGAAUUCAUCACUUACUUUACCUCGCCCCCCCAACCGCCUCCCCGCUGAGUCGAAAUAAGGGGAUGACUUUACCAAGACCUGCAAAUUCCAUGAGGAAAAACUACUGCCUGUCAAUCAGCUGCUUUGACAGAAUUUGCUAAGAGAAUAAUUCCGAAUGGCCUGGGGAGUCGGAGCUGGUAGACACUGUUACAUGUAUGUGACCAAAGGAUUCUGCAAUUAGUUCAAUUUUUAACUCUACAACAGGUUGAUGAGGCUAUUCAGAUGGUGUUGUAAUAGUAUCAUUAAAGGUAUUCAAAGUAAAACACUGUGUGUUGCUCAGUCUUUAGAAUACAGAGGCAAAGUGAAA
Mustela erminea (ermine) is the source of this 582-nucleotide long non-coding RNA. RefSeq lists it as uncharacterized. The record is from RefSeq and is a predicted model, not a curated record. The transcript has 4 exons. NCBI's taxonomy places the organism in Eukaryota, Metazoa, Chordata, Mammalia, Carnivora, Mustelidae.